UUGCUCACUUCAGCAGCACAUAUACCAAAAUUGGAACAAUAUAGAGAUUAGUCUGACCCCUGCCCAAGGAUGGCAUGUAAAUUUGUGAAGUGUUCUAUAUUUUU
Small nuclear RNA from Pristis pectinata (smalltooth sawfish), 104 nucleotides. The record is from RefSeq and is a predicted model, not a curated record. Lineage: Eukaryota; Metazoa; Chordata; Chondrichthyes; Rhinopristiformes; Pristidae.